This 342-nucleotide ribosomal RNA is filed under the name Bacillus sp. (in: firmicutes). RNAcentral describes it as "bacterial SSU rRNA". It matches the Rfam family "Bacterial small subunit ribosomal RNA", at positions 920 to 1267 of the family's 1533-position model. Lineage: Bacteria; Bacillati; Bacillota; Bacilli; Caryophanales; Bacillaceae. The record is from RNAcentral.
CCCGCACAAGCGGUGGAGCAUGUGGUUUAAUUCGAAGCAACGCGAAGAACCUUACCAGGUCUUGACAUCCUCUGACAACCCUAGAGAUAGGGCUUUCCCUUCGGGGACAGAGUGACAGGACAUGGUUGUCGUCAGCUCGUGUCGUGAGAUGUUGGGUUAAGUCCCGCAACGAGCGCAACCCUUGAUCUUAGUUGCCAGCAUUCAGUUGGGCACUCUAAGGUGACUGCCGGUGACAAACCGGAGGAAGGUGGGGAUGACGUCAAAUCAUCAUGCCCCUUAUGACCUGGGCUACACACGUGCUACAAUGGACAGAACAAAGGGCUGCAAGACCGCAAGGUUUAG